RNAcentral lists this ribosomal RNA (253 nucleotides) under uncultured bacterium. Its description in RNAcentral is "partial 16S ribosomal RNA". It matches the Rfam family "Bacterial small subunit ribosomal RNA", at positions 524 to 776 of the family's 1533-position model. The record is from RNAcentral.
GACGAACCGUGCGAACGUUGUUCGGAUUCACUGGGCUUAAAGGGCGCGUAGGCGGGCAUUCAAGUCAGGGGUGAAAUCUUUCGGCUUAACCGGAAAAGUGCCUUUGAUACUGAAUGUCUCGAGGGAGGUAGGGGCGUGUGGAACUUCCGGUGGAGCGGUGAAAUGCGUAGAUAUCGGAAGGAACGCCGGUGGCGAAAGCGACGCGCUGGACCUCUUCUGACGCUGAGGCGCGAAAGCCAGGGGAGCAAACGGG